CCUACGGGAGGCAGCAGGGAGGAAUAGUGGGCAAUGGACGAGAGUCUGAACCAGCCAAGUAGCGUGAAGGAUGACAGCCCUAGGGGUUGUAAACUUCGUUUAUAUGGGAAUAAAAUGUUCCACGUGUGGGAUUUUGUAUGUACCAUAUGAAUAAGGAUCGGCUAACUCCGUGCCAGCAGCCGCGGUAAUACGGAGGAUCCGAGCGUUAUCCGGAUUGAUUGGGUUUAAAGGGAGCGUAGGGGGUUUGUUAAGUCAGUUGUGAAAGUUUGCGGCUCAACCGUAAAAUUGCAGUUGAAACUGGCAGUCUUGAGUACAGUAGAGGUGGGCGGAAUUCGUGGUGUAGCGGUGAAAUGCUUAGAUAUCACGAAGAACUCCGAUUGCGAAGGCAGUUCACUGGACUGCAACUGACACUGAGGCUCGAAAGUGUGGGUAUCAAACAGGAUUAGAUACCCUUGUAGUC
This 460-nucleotide ribosomal RNA is filed under the name uncultured bacterium. RNAcentral describes it as "partial 16S ribosomal RNA". It matches the Rfam family "Bacterial small subunit ribosomal RNA", at positions 338 to 795 of the family's 1533-position model. The record is from RNAcentral.